Molecule: long non-coding RNA, 282 nt
Filed under: Nicotiana benthamiana
Lineage: Eukaryota; Viridiplantae; Streptophyta; Magnoliopsida; Solanales; Solanaceae
Description: long non-coding RNA (NBEN_LNC017794)
Source: RNAcentral
CACGUUUAGCAGGUUGUCUACUAAAAGUUGGAGUUUCUACAGGUGGGUGUGCCGGUGCAUUACUUGAGUUAUGAACAGGACUAGUAGGUGUAUCAUUUAAAUCUGGUUCUUGGGUUUCAUCAUCAUCAUCAUCAUCCUCAUUUUCCUCUAAGAUAGGUUCAUUAGGAUAAAGAACAUCCAUAAUUUCAUCAUCUAAUCUAUCACCUACCGCAACAUCAUGUAGAAAUUCACUAUCGGUAAAUUGAAAACAAGGGAGAUCAUUAUCAAGCAUUACGGGAGGCG